AUGAUAUGCUUCUUCGCAGUCGAGUGGCACUUUGUAGACCGUGUGGCAAGACAAUUUGGAAGAAGACAAGGUAUUUCAAUUGAGGAGAGCAAGGAGGAAAUGCUAUCUCUGCAUCGGUUCGAACGAAGGAACAAUCAGGAUAUAUCGGAUUGGGCAAACAAACACCGUGCGUGGAUAGAAAUUUGGAAUCAAAGAGAUACGUUAGUGCAAUCAGAGAAUAGACCUCACAAUCAGUCAGCAUAUCAGAAGUAUCAAGUGUGGUAUGCGGAUCGUUACCGGUUAAAGCUGAAGCCUGGUUGGACUCAUGAGGAGUGGUCGGAGUUGGUGUCUGAAGACCCGGAGACUGCACAAGGUUAUCAAACCUUCAACACGGCUGUGAGAGACACCAGAGGGGCUCACGUUGACUAUGCACCGAUGCAGGAUGAAAUGGGCAGAGAGUUGCUUCUGUGCGUCAACGAUGCCAGUGUUGCACUGAGUCAUCCACCUGGUGGUGCAUUAUCUGAGAGGACUCUUAGGAGCACGAUGGAGAAGUUCAAGAAGCGGUUUCAUAAGAUGGCAGCAAUGCUUUCUUGCCAUGGUGCUCAGUCCAGUGAUGUGUAUGCACCUAUCUGA
RNAcentral lists this ribosomal RNA (612 nucleotides) under Triticum aestivum (bread wheat). Its description in RNAcentral is "partial small subunit ribosomal RNA". Lineage: Eukaryota; Viridiplantae; Streptophyta; Magnoliopsida; Poales; Poaceae. The record is from RNAcentral.